RNAcentral lists this ribosomal RNA (1808 nucleotides) under human gut metagenome. RNAcentral's name for it is "bacterial LSU rRNA". It matches the Rfam family "Bacterial large subunit ribosomal RNA", at positions 1098 to 2925 of the family's 2925-position model. The record is from RNAcentral.
AGGUUGGCUCAGAAGCAGCCAUCCUUUAAAGAGUGCGUAACAGCUCACUAGUCGAAUGACUCUGCGCCGAUAAUUUACCGGGGCUAAGCAUACUACCGAAGCUAUGGAUCCCAAGGGAUGGUAGGGGAGCGUUCCAUGAACGGAGAAGCGCGAUCGAGAGGACGCGUGGAGAUCAUGGAAGAGAGAAUGCCGGUGUGAGUAGCGGAACGUGGGUGAGAAUCCCACGCACCGAAAACCCAAGGUUUCCAGAGGAAGGUUCGUCCGCUCUGGGUAAGUCGGGACCUAAGGCGAGGCCGAGAGGCGUAGUCGAUGGACAACAGGUAGAGAUUCCUGUACUCAUAUAUAUGUGAAGGAAUGACGGAGAGAGGAAGCUGCAGCCAGCGGCUGGAAGAGCUGGUGCAAGCGAGAUAUCGGGAUGGCAGGCAAAUCCACCAUCCGAAACGAGAAGGCGUGAAGCGUACGGAAAGCUAAGGCGAGUACGGAAGGCAGUGGAGGAGCUUCCAAGAAAAGUUUCUAACGAAAGUAUAUGUGACCCGUACCGAAAAUGGACACACAUGGGUGAGGAGAGAAUCCUAAGGUGAGCGAGAGAACUAUAGCUAAGGAACUCUGCAAAAUGACUCCGUAACUUAGGGAGAAGGAGUGCUCAUAGAGAUAUGAGCCGCAGUGAAACGGCCCAAGCGACUGUUUACCAAAAACACAGCUCUCUGCUAAGCCGCAAGGCGAAGUAUAGGGGGUGACGCCUGCCCGGUGCUGGAAGGUUAAGGGGAGGGGUUAACGCAAGUGAAGCCCUGAACUGAAGCCCCAGUAAACGGCGGCCGUAACUAUAACGGUCCUAAGGUAGCGAAAUUCCUUGUCAGGUAAGUUCUGACCCGCACGAAAGGCGUAACGAUUUGGGCGCUGUCUCAGCUGUAGACUCGGUGAAGUCUUAGUACCUGUGAAGAUGCAGGUUACCCGCGACUAGACGGAAAGACCCCAUGGAGCUUCACUGCAGGUUGAUAUUGGGAUUUGAUGCAGCAUGUACAGGAUAGGUAGGAGGCAAAGAGAUGGAUACGCCAGUAUUCAAGGAGCCGCUGUUGGGAUACUACCCCUGUUGUAUUGGAUUUCUAACCGGACGACGUAAAGCCGUUGACGGGACAGUGUCAGUCGGGCAGUUUGACUGGGGCGGUCGCCUCCCAAAGAGUAACGGAGGCGCCCAAAGAUACCCUCAGCUUGGAUGGAAACCAAGCGCAGAGUGCAAAGGCAAAAGGGUGUUUGACUGCGAGACCAACAAGUCGAGCAGGGACGAAAGUCGGGCUUAGUGAUCCGGCGGUGCUGAAUGGAAAGGCCGUCGCUCAACGGAUAAAAGCUACCCUGGGGAUAACAGGCUGAUCUCCCCCAAGAGUUCACAUCGACGGGGAGGUUUGGCACCUCGAUGUCGGCUCAUCGCAUCCUGGAGCUGAAGUCGGUUCCAAGGGUUGGGCUGUUCGCCCAUUAAAGCGGUACGCGAGCUGGGUUCAGAACGUCGUGAGACAGUUCGGUCCCUAUCUGUCGUGGGCGCAGGAAAUUUGAGAAGAGCUGUCCUCAGUACGAGAGGACCGGGAUGGACGCAUCAAUGGUGGACCAGUUGUCACGCCAGUGGCAUAGCUGGGUAGCUAAAUGCGGAAGGGAUAAACGCUGAAGGCAUCUAAGUGUGAAACCCACUUCAAGAUGAGAUUUCCCAUUGCGCAAGCAAGUAAGACCCCUUAAAGACGAUAAGGUAGAUAGGUCAGGAGUGUAAGCAUGGUGACAUGUUAAGCGGACUGAUACUAAUAGGUCGAGGGCUUGACCGA